This is a non-coding RNA of Erinaceus europaeus (western European hedgehog), 363 nucleotides long. The record is from the annotation of a RefSeq genome assembly. NCBI's taxonomy places the organism in Eukaryota, Metazoa, Chordata, Mammalia, Eulipotyphla, Erinaceidae.
AUGCUUGUCUCUGUCCUUCUGAAGAUGGUCUUAGCUUCUAUGUGGCUAGGAAUCAGUGUUGCUCAGAAGGUCACUCAAGCCCUACCAACAACCUCAGCACAGGAGAAGGAGGAUGUGGUCCUGAACUGCACAUAUGAUAUCAGCAAUAACAUUGAUAGCUACAGUGUGUUCUGGUACAAGCAGCCUAGUAGUCAGGAGAUGAUUUUUCUCAUUCGCCAGGACUCUUACAGCCAGGAAAAUGCAACUGAAGGUCGUUACACAGUGGACUUCCAGAAGGCAAGCAAGUCCAUCAACCUUGUCAUCUCAGCUUCACAGCUGGAGGACUCAGUAUUGUAUUUCUGUGCGCUGAGAGACACACAAUGA